CCCUAUGGGGUGCAGCAGGCGCUGUUGAAGAUGUUGGAGGGGACGGUCGCGAACAUCCCGCCGCAAGGCGGGCGCAAGCACCCGGAGCAGCAGUACAUUCAGAUCGACACUUCGCAGAUUCUGUUCAUUUGCGCGGGGACAUUCUCGAACCUGGAAGAGAUCAUCAAGCGUCGGGUCGGCGGGAAGAACAUCGGAUUCGCCAGCGAGGAGGCUGGGGACGCGGAUACAGUGACGGCUCGGAACGAGUUGUUGCACCGCGUGGUUCCCGAGGACCUGUUCGAGUACGGGAUGAUCCCGGAGUUCAUCGGGCGGUUGCCGGUGAUCGGGGCGUUGGGGCCGUUGGACAAGACGACGCUGGUGAAGGUGCUGACCGAGCCCCGAAACGCGCUGUGCCGGCAGUACGCGAAGAUGUUCGAGUUGGCGGGAGGGC
Molecule: ribosomal RNA, 430 nt
Filed under: uncultured prokaryote
Description: partial 16S ribosomal RNA
Source: RNAcentral